This is a long non-coding RNA of Cavia porcellus (domestic guinea pig), 1722 nucleotides long. RefSeq lists it as uncharacterized. Lineage: Eukaryota; Metazoa; Chordata; Mammalia; Rodentia; Caviidae. The transcript is spliced from 2 exons. The record is from RefSeq and is a predicted model, not a curated record.
UAUUAAUAUAUAGCUACACACAAUAAUAUAAUCAUAUAAUUAAUAGUCAUAUAUAUUAGUUAUAUCAAUUAUCUAUAGCUAUUUACCAAUAUACAUUUAUAUAUUAGUUACAUAGGUAUAUUCUGGUUAAUACAUUGUGUCAACUUGAAAAGUUUAGCAGUUUUACUGAGACACUCAGCAGGAGCCGGGAUGCUCAUCCUGUGCAGGAGGAGGGCACGGAGACUUCGUGAGCGCUGCACCGCCCUGCGGGGCGUGGGCUGGGACAGUAUAAGGGAGGAGAAGAGGCUGUUUUUGUCUCCUUGUGUUCUUGCUGCCGCCUUGAAGUGCUCCUCCAGUGCCACACGACCCUGCCUUGGAGCCAGCUGAUUACGGACUGAAACCUCCAAAACUUGGAGCUACGUCUCAAUAAACCUACCUGGAGUUGAAAACCGUGUUGUCUGAGGAAGCACUUGGAGGCCCUCACCCCUCUGACUCCCAGGCACAGCCUAACCCACCUGGAAGCACUCACGGAUGCACCUCAUUAGCCUACAGAUUGGCAAACCAUCUCACCCCAAGUCAUAGUAACAUGUGGAAUAUCCCAUACAGUCUAUUAAAUACCAGAUGCAUGGACAGGAAAACUGGUAUGGCUGGAAAAGUAUGCUUUUUGGACCCUGUAAAGUUGUAUAACUCUAUACCCAGCCCUCAGACAGCCAGGCGUGUGGCAUGUGAAUGUCAUGGUCAUAGGGAUGUCCACACCUAUGGGCACCUAAGGCUCACUGGGAAGCAUCUCCUUGGCUGGUCCACAGAUCUGUCUGUGUCUUGUUACUCUCCUGCAUCCUCCCCUGUGCAGACUCUGCACUGGUGUCCUCCACCACUGUCUGAAUGUCCUGGUCAUGGUGCAGACCAUGAAUGGCCCCCAGAGGCCCUGGGGCACAGGCUUGGCUCUACCAGGAGGCAAUGGGAUUUCCAGAAAGUGAUGCCUGGUGGGAGAUCUGUGGGCCACGGGGCCAGGACAUUGAAGGAGACUGCACAGCUCCAGCCCAGACCCAUUCUUCUCCUCUCUUUUCUCCCUGGCCGUGAGGUGAGUGAGCGGUUUUGCUCCACCAUUUGCUCCAUGAGAGGGCCAAAAGCAAGGGGUCCAAGUGAUCAAGGGGUUUGUGAAAGUCUCCCAGGCUGAGAACCAAAUGAAUCUUUUCUUUUCCUAAGAAAAUGGUCGCCAUAUGAUAGAGCCCCACUUAGAAGCCUCGGAGGCAAUGGUGACUAUAGAUGAAGUGCGAUUCGAAUCUGGGUGCCCUGUAGGACACGGGUCCCAUCUUUUGUUUGAGCAGCAGCCCUGCCCUUUUCCCCCCACACACCAUUGCUUUGUUCUGCUCUGAGAAUGUGCUUUGCUUCCCUCACACCCUUAAGCCCUGCAAUGCUCCUCCAUUCUUGUUAUGGUUUGUGUCUCAUUGUUUCCCCAAAGCCUCAUGCAGUCCUGAAGGCAGCUGCGUCUAUCGUUUGUGAUUGGUUGGUUGUCUAGCGCUUGGAUUGGCAGUGUGAGUGCUGCACCAGCCCAGGGGCAGGGGUGGCAUACGAUAUAAGGGAGGGAAGGAGGUGUGCUUUGCACUUCUUGCUUUUGUUACCUUGGUACCUGCCUCUGCCAUGAAUGGCUGCCCCUGUGCCAUGCCACCCUGCCUUGGAGCCAACUGAUUAUGGACUAAAAUCUUCACAAACUGUGAGCUAAAUAAAUCUUUCUUUCCUUAA